RNAcentral lists this ribosomal RNA (379 nucleotides) under uncultured eukaryote. RNAcentral describes it as "SSU rRNA". It matches the Rfam family "Eukaryotic small subunit ribosomal RNA", at positions 587 to 972 of the family's 1831-position model. The record is from RNAcentral.
AGCUCCAAUAGCGUAUAUUAAAGUUGUUGCAGUUAAAAAGCUCGUAGUUGGAUUUUGGGUUCGCGUGUCCGGUCUGCCGCGAGGCGUGUACUGGGCGUGUGUUCCUUCCUUCCGGGGCUCGCGCGUGCCCUUUACUGGGCGUGCGCGCUGCGCCGGGACGUUUACUGUGAAAAAAUUAGAGUGUUUAAAGCAGGCCUGUGCUUGAAUACAUUAGCAUGGAAUAAUGAAAUAGGACUUUGGUCCUGUUUUGUUGGUUUCUUGGACCGAGGUAAUGAUUAAUAGGGACAGUUGGGGGCAUUCGUAUUUCAAUGUCAGAGGUGAAAUUCUUGGAUUUUUGAAAGACGAACUUUUGCGAAAGCAUUUGCCAAGGAUGUUUUCA